This is a non-coding RNA of Clathrus columnatus, 85 nucleotides long. The record is from the annotation of a GenBank genome assembly. NCBI's taxonomy places the organism in Eukaryota, Fungi, Basidiomycota, Agaricomycetes, Phallales, Clathraceae.
ACUGGGGUGGGGUAGUGGUAACCUUAACGCUUCCCAAAUGGGUGUUCUUCAGCGUUAGCGCCGGGUUCGAUUCCCGGUCCCAGUA